RNAcentral lists this ribosomal RNA (408 nucleotides) under uncultured rumen bacterium. RNAcentral describes it as "bacterial SSU rRNA". It matches the Rfam family "Bacterial small subunit ribosomal RNA", at positions 509 to 914 of the family's 1533-position model. The record is from RNAcentral.
CAGCAGCCGCGGUAAUACGUAGGGGGCAAGCGUUGUCCGGAGUGAUUGGGCGUAAAGGGCGCGUAGGCGGCCUUAUAAGUCUGGAGUGAAAGUCCUGUUCUUCAAGAUGGGAAUUGCUUUGGAUACUGUAGGGCUUGAGUGCAGGAGAGGUAAGUGGAAUUCCCAGUGUAGCGGUGAAAUGCGUAGAGAUUGGGAGGAACACCAGUGGCGAAGGCGACUUACUGGACUGUAACUGACGCUGAGGCGCGAAAGUGUGGGGAGCAAACAGGAUUAGAUACCCUGGUAGUCCMCRCUGUAAMCGAUGAAUGCUAGGUGUAGGGGGUAUCGACCCCUUCUGUGCCGCAGUUAACACAAUAAGCAUUCCGCCUGGGGAGUACGGCCGCAAGGUUGAAACUCAAAGAAAUUGAC